CUAGGAAUAUUGGACAAUGGGCGAAAGCCUGAUCCAGCAACACCGCGUGGAGGACGAAGGCCUUCGGGUCGUAAACUCCUUUUUGGGGGAUGAGAAAGGACAGUACCCCCAGAAUAAGGCCCGGCUAACUACGUGCCAGCAGCCGCGGUAAUACGUAGGGGCCAAGCGUUAUCCGGAUUUACUGGGCGUAAAGCGCAUGUAGGCGGUCUGCUAAGUCGGACGUGAAAGCUCCUGGCUCAACUGGGAGAGGUCGUUCGAAACUAGUAGACUAGAGGGUGGUAGAGGAGAGCGGAAUUCCAGGUGUAGCGGUGAAAUGCGUAGAUAUCUGGAGGAACACCAGUGGCGAAAGCGGCUCUCUGGCCCACUCCUGACGCUGAGAUGCGAAAGCCAGGGGAGAGAACGGGAUUAGAAACCCGGGUAG
This 421-nucleotide ribosomal RNA is filed under the name uncultured bacterium. RNAcentral's name for it is "bacterial SSU rRNA". It matches the Rfam family "Bacterial small subunit ribosomal RNA", at positions 355 to 793 of the family's 1533-position model. The record is from RNAcentral.